UGGCAUGAUCAGCCAUUGUGUUGCUGUUGACUUUCAGUGGUAAAAAAAGAAGAGGAUCCAUUGGUUGCCCUCAUGUACCAGCAGUCAUAAAAUAGAUGAUGAUGAUGAUGAUAGCCAUCAUAAACUUACAGUGUCAAGUAAUGGCUUCUGAUUGUCCUCCUCAACAUCAUCUUCUGAACUGCAUUCUUCCAUUGUUUCACCAUUUGCAAAAUAAAUAAUCUUUCUGGGAGAUUUAUUAUCCUUUAGAGUAUCAUCUCCCAGUUCCCGUCCAUCAUUCACUGUUCCUUCCUUUAGAGGUUUUUGGGAAUUGUCCAUCACGGAAAUAAUAUCUGAUUAAAAUAAUGCUGAGAUAGAAGAUGUAUAACACAUCACUGGGUGUCCAUGCAGAGAAAUCUUGGAAAGAAGAGCAUUUCAAAGGAGGCCAGCUGACAAAAAGC
Molecule: non-coding RNA, 437 nt
Organism: Notechis scutatus (mainland tiger snake)
Lineage: Eukaryota; Metazoa; Chordata; Lepidosauria; Squamata; Elapidae
Source: RefSeq, a predicted model, not a curated record